CAGCCGCCACGGUAAUACGGAGGGCGCGAGCGUUACCCGGAUUUACUGGGCGUAAAGGGCGUGUAGGCGGCCUGGGGCGUCCCAUGUGAAAGGCCACGGCUCAACCGUGGAGGAGCGUGGGAUACGCUCAGGCUAGAGGGUGGGAGAGGGUGGUGGAAUUCCCGGAGUAGCGGUGAAAUGCGCAGAUACCGGGAGGAACGCCGAUGGCGAAGGCAGCCACCUGGUCCACUUCUGACGCUGAGGCGCGAAAGCGUGGGGAGCAAACCGGAUUAGAUACCCCGGUAGUCCCUGUCUCUUAUAC
This 301-nucleotide ribosomal RNA is filed under the name uncultured bacterium. RNAcentral describes it as "partial 16S ribosomal RNA". It matches the Rfam family "Bacterial small subunit ribosomal RNA", at positions 509 to 807 of the family's 1533-position model. The record is from RNAcentral.